GUAACUGCCUCCAACAUUUACAUGAAAUUGUAUAUAAAGCCAUGCAUAGUAUACGAAUCAAUUAACAGCCUUCCGACGUGCAGGGAACCCGCAGCCCGAUAGCACUAAAGCAAAAUGAACACACAAAGAUUGACCAUUUUUCUGGUUCUUAUCUGCCUUUCCUGCGGACAUGCGCAAUGGGCACAGACAUUUGGAUGGGGAGGUGCUGGCAAUGGUAAACGAUCAUCCUGGCCAACCAUUUCUAAUUCUGAUCCUUACGACUGCAGUCAAAGAAAUGAAAACAUCUUGAACGUUUUGUCAAAUUUAGUUGAGAUCGAGGUUCAGCGAUUGAAUUAUUGUGAAAACAGAAAAAGAAUUUCAACACAGUAAAUCCAUCUCUCAAAGACUGCUGCACCGGAUGAAAUUUACAACGAUUUUGUACCUGGACAACGUACAUAAAAAGUGUUAUGGUAGCCUUUAGUUAAAGUUCAAGCGUCUUUCAGAAGUGACGAAAUAUAUUUUUAUCAAUAGCAUAUAUUUCUGGCAUUAACAUUAUUGCAGCCUAAAUUUUAACACAUGAUAUGGAACUUUUUAUGAAGACUUUAGCACGAAUAUCGUAACACACGGGAACUUGAUUAUCGUCGUGAUUAUAAAAAAAAUAAAUCCGUAAUAUUAUAAUUCUCGAUAUCAUAGAAAACUAGUACUAUAUAAUAAUUAUUGUUAUUAUACUUUCAUGUAAAAUACUCGAACCUGAUUGGUCGAGAAGCAUUUGAAAAAACAUAUUGUUACCCUCUGAGAACAGAAAACACGCGACCCAGGGUGAUAGUAUCUAGCAACGGGUAACAGUACUUGACAACGGGUGAUAUUAUAAAAAAUUAUCACAUGCGUCAAAUUUAUGCGCGUACGGUUCGCCGUAGAUUGCUAGACGACGUCGUUUGAGCGUUUGUAAUAAACGCGAGUACCCGCAUCGAAAUACGAAAUAUCGCAUGACAGUGAUUGAUCAAAUGUCAACAGACGUAAGUUUUUCUGCUUUCCAGUUUACAUAACAUUCAGUAUAAUAAAACAAAUAUUGCAUGUAUUUGAGGGUAACAUUGAAAUUUUCACCCCUCGAGAAACCAUUGUCAACCUCGGCUACGCCUCGGUUGACAAUGGUUUUCUCGGGGUGAAAAUUUUCAAUGUUGCCCUCAAAUACAUGCAAUAUUUAUAUAAUAACACAUACACCAAAGAAUGAUAAUCGAUAUAAGUAAUUAAUAUAAUGUAUUAUGGGUAUUCUAAUAUAACGUAAUUGUCGAUAUGGCAGAACAAUAUAUAGAUGAUAACACACUGGAACAUAAUCAUCUAUAUGAUAGAACAGGUUUCACCGUGGAAUGGUACAUUAGAUACAUGAAACACAAUUCACAGAUAUACAGUAACAGGGGUCAAACAGACUAAACAUCAGGUGCUAAACAGAUAUGUUGCCAAAGUAAUUGCUCUUUUCCAUAAGCUAUGAAAAAUGAACAUUGUGAAGAUUUAAUUUACAUACAUUGUACGAUAUAUUGAUAUAAAAUAUUGUUCACAUGUAUACGUGAUACUUACAUUAAAAUGCUUUUGGCGGCAGAAGCAGCUAUUUUACUAAAACUAG
Ostrea edulis (European flat oyster) is the source of this 1600-nucleotide long non-coding RNA. RefSeq lists it as uncharacterized. Lineage: Eukaryota; Metazoa; Mollusca; Bivalvia; Ostreida; Ostreidae. The record is from RefSeq and is a predicted model, not a curated record. The transcript is spliced from 3 exons.